AUAACGACUCUCGGCAACGGAUAUCUCGGCUCUCGCAUCGAUGAAGAACGUAGCGAACUGCGAUACUUGGUGUGAAUUGCAGAAUCCCGUGAACCAUCGAGUCUUUGAACGCAAGUUGCGCCCGAAGCCAUUCGGUCGAGGGCACGUUUGCCUGGGUGUC
This 160-nucleotide ribosomal RNA is filed under the name Thaleropia queenslandica. RNAcentral describes it as "5.8S ribosomal RNA". It matches the Rfam family "5.8S ribosomal RNA". From Rfam's summary of the family: 5.8S ribosomal RNA (5.8S rRNA) is a component of the large subunit of the eukaryotic ribosome. Lineage: Eukaryota; Viridiplantae; Streptophyta; Magnoliopsida; Myrtales; Myrtaceae. The record is from RNAcentral.